GGUAACCGAUCGGCAGGUGCUUCCAGUUCGGGGUGAGCGGCUCCGGCGCGUCGGGGCGGAAGAUGCGGCCCACGUUGGAGGCGUGGUGCUCGCUG
Molecule: transfer RNA, 95 nt
Filed under: Streptomyces abikoensis
Lineage: Bacteria; Bacillati; Actinomycetota; Actinomycetes; Kitasatosporales; Streptomycetaceae
Description: tRNA-Ala
Source: RNAcentral